This 253-nucleotide ribosomal RNA is filed under the name uncultured bacterium. RNAcentral's name for it is "partial 16S ribosomal RNA". It matches the Rfam family "Bacterial small subunit ribosomal RNA", at positions 524 to 776 of the family's 1533-position model. The record is from RNAcentral.
CACGUAGGGUGCGAGCGUUGUCCGGAAUUAUUGGGCGUAAAGAGCUCGUAGGCGGUCCGUCACGUCGGGUGUGAAAUUCCAGGGCUCAACCCUGGACCUGCAUUCGAUACGGGCGGACUAGAGUUCGGUAGGGGAGACUGGAAUUCCUGGUGUAGCGGUGAAAUGCGCAGAUAUCAGGAGGAACACCGGUGGCGAAGGCGGGUCUCUGGGCCGAUACUGACGCUGAGGAGCGAAGGCGUGGGGAGCGAACAGG